Camelus ferus (Wild Bactrian camel) is the source of this 72-nucleotide transfer RNA. It matches the Rfam family "tRNA". From Rfam's summary of the family: Transfer RNA (tRNA) molecules are approximately 80 nucleotides in length. Their secondary structure includes four short double-helical elements and three loops (D, anti-codon, and T loops). Further hydrogen bonds mediate the characteristic L-shaped molecular structure. tRNAs have two regions of fundamental functional importance: the anti-codon, which is responsible for specific mRNA codon recognition, and the 3' end, to which the tRNAs corresponding amino acid is attached (by aminoacyl-tRNA synthetases). tRNAs cope with the degeneracy of the genetic code in two manners: having more than one tRNA (with a specific anti-codon) for a particular amino acid; and 'wobble' base-pairing, i.e. permitting non-standard base-pairing at the 3rd anti-codon position. The record is from Rfam. Lineage: Eukaryota; Metazoa; Chordata; Mammalia; Artiodactyla; Camelidae.
GGGUGUAUAGCUCAGUGGUUGAGUGCAUGCCUGGCAUGCAUGAGGUCCUGGGUUCAAUCCCCAGUGCUUCCA